Molecule: ribosomal RNA, 492 nt
Filed under: uncultured bacterium
Lineage: Bacteria
Description: partial 16S ribosomal RNA
Rfam family: Bacterial small subunit ribosomal RNA
Source: RNAcentral
AGUGAACGCUGGCGGUAGGCCUAACACAUGCAAGUCGAACGGCAGCACAGUAAGAGCUUGCUCUUACGGGUGGCGAGUGGCGGACGGGUGAGGAAUACAUCGGAAUCUACUUUUUCGUGGGGGUUAACGUAGGGAAACUUACGCUAAUACCGCAUACGACCUACGGGUGAGAGCAGGGGAUCUUCGGACCUUGCGCGAUUGAAUGAGCCGAUGUCGGAUUAGCUAGUUGGCGGGGUAAAGGCCCACCAAGGCGACGAUCCGUAGCUGGUCUGAGAGGAUGAUCAGCCACACUGGAACUGAGACACGGUCCAGACUCCUACGGGAGGCAGCAGUGGGGAAUAUUGGACAAUGGGCGCAAGCCUGAUCCAGCCAUACCGCGUGGGUGAAGAAGGCCUUCGGGUUGUAAAGCCCUUUUGUUGGGAAAGAAAAGCAGCAGGUUAAUACCCCGCUGUUCUGACGGUACCCAAAGAAUAAGCACCGGCUAACUUCGUG